CUCGCAAGAGUGAACUAGCUAACUGAAAUCACUAAUUGAUUUUAUCAAUGUGAAUUGCUAAGGGAAAAUAAUGAUAGUACCUUAGUAAGAGUGUUGUCAAAUUCUGGUGCCAGAAGACUCGGUAAUGCCAGUAACGCAAACGUUAAUCAUCUUAAUCAGGCGUAAAGGGUUUGUAGGCAGCUUUUUAAAAACUCUUAAAUAUGGAAGAAAAUUAAAAUUAUUUAAGUUGUUUGAAAUAAAAGCUAGAAUCAAAUAGAAGUUAAACCGUAUAAUACUUAGAGAAGAGCUGAGAACCGUAGAACCUAAGGGGAAUACUAAAGGUGUAAACAACUAACUAUAAAUGAUUGACGCUGAGACACGAAGGUGAGGAAAGGAAAUAGGAUUAGAUACCCUGGUACCCCUCUCUGUAAACGAUGAAUGGUAGUUGUCAAUGUUUUAUUGGUGACGAUGUUAACGCGUUAACCAUUCCGCCUUGGGAGUACUACUGCAAAGUUGAAAACAAAAAAAUUAGUCGGUCUCGAAGCAAACGGAGUGAAGCAU
RNAcentral lists this ribosomal RNA (540 nucleotides) under Fomitopsis quercina. Its description in RNAcentral is "SSU rRNA". It matches the Rfam family "Bacterial small subunit ribosomal RNA", at positions 401 to 942 of the family's 1533-position model. Lineage: Eukaryota; Fungi; Basidiomycota; Agaricomycetes; Polyporales; Fomitopsidaceae. The record is from RNAcentral.